CAGAUGCGCGCCGUUCCAGGUGUCUCACGCCGCCGCGCGUGAGGUGAAACGGGAAGCCGGUGCGUCCAUCAGGACCAGUCCGGCGCUGCCCCCGCAACGGUAAGCGAGCGCUGCAUUCGAUACGCCACUGUGCCCACGGCAUGGGAAGGCGAAUGCGGCGUGAUCCUCGCAAGCCCGGAGACCGGCCUGGAGCAUCGAUAGGCA
Molecule: non-coding RNA, 204 nt
Filed under: Pseudomonas sp.
Lineage: Bacteria; Pseudomonadati; Pseudomonadota; Gammaproteobacteria; Pseudomonadales; Pseudomonadaceae
Also listed under: 1 other name
Source: RNAcentral